Long non-coding RNA from Hordeum vulgare subsp. vulgare (domesticated barley), 1679 nucleotides. RefSeq lists it as uncharacterized. Lineage: Eukaryota; Viridiplantae; Streptophyta; Magnoliopsida; Poales; Poaceae. The transcript is spliced from 2 exons. The record is from RefSeq and is a predicted model, not a curated record.
UCAUCUCCGACCACGACUGGAAAAAGUUCGAACCGCCACCACACGCACCGACUCCUUCCUGGAAACCCAUCGCCGCCACCAGCUCCAUGCCCUCUGUAAAUACCACACGAGCCCCCAAUGGUUUCCCCGCAUCGUAGGGUUUGAUUGAUUGACUUCUCCUCUCCUCUCUUCUCUUCCACCUCCCGUCGUCGGGUAAGCGCAAGUACGGUGUUCGUAAUCGGUUCCGAUCUCGCGCUCCCUUUUCGCUAUUCUUCGUCUGAUUGUAUUCCAGGCUAGGGUUCUGUCUUGGUCGAGGUGCUCCUCCCGUCGAUGUCGAGGUCUAGCUAGUCCCGGUGUUUUCUCCUCGUCUGUUCCGUUGAUAUUGGGAUCUAUCAUGCUCUGGUUGCGAUGUGAUUUAGGGUCGCGUCUUAUCCUUUAUAUUAUUAUCAUGGUCAUGAUUGCUUAUUGGAUUUAAGGUUGUGAUGAGAAAUGGAGAUUAUAUUUGGCGUGAAUAACGAGGUCUGUCGGUAUAGAUACGUGGAGGUGGAGCAGUUUGUUUUGUUUCAUUUCUGUUUGUUCUGGAAUCUGGAGGAUUGGUCUGGUCGGUUUAGUUGGUUCCGUGGAGAUGUUUGACAUGAUCCGAAUGAGAGAUUGAAGGUUGUGGUUUCAUUUUGGCUUGGUCAGUUCAAGGUGUUUAUAUUUUUGUGGCGAAAAACAACGGGUUGGAGACAGUUCACAGUCAAAAUUCUGCUGUUAUUUUUGCUUUUGAUCCCGUUCCUUCAUACUUGGUCAGACUCAAUAAAAAUUGGAGGAAGUUGGAAAAAGGUUUGCUAGGUCUAUUUGGAUAUAUUUGCUUUCGCCUAUCAGCCUAUACACGUCAGAUUAUAUGGAAAGGAUUGUGCUAUAUUACCAUGUUAUAAACUGUGUUGACAUGUUCAUGGCGGAGGUGAUUCUUCAGUGGCUAUGUUUUGGUGUCAACUUUGGUUUGUUUCAUUUCAAGAUUCAUAGGAAAAUCGGAGGUGCUUGUUUUGUUUGCGUUCUAGAUUUAAUUUCUCAGGAAGCACCUUAAAUGAACAUGGAAGUUUGCUUUUGAAGUGAUCUGUUUGAAGGUUGUUUCAACUACAGUGAAGAUGCUCUUGGUUUGUCUCUGCAGAAUUACUUCACUGUUGCUGUGUUUUUCUUUGGUGGUAUGUCAAGGUGUAUUCAGAUGCUGGUUACUGUGUUGGAAUCUACCAAUCCUUCUGAUCACUAGUUUGUGUGUAUGAUUUUCUAAACGGAUAUUUGGUUGGGCUUCAGCUGGUUUCAUGUUCUGUCCGGUGUUGGAUUAGUCUUAGGUUGGUAAUUCGUAUUCUUAUUGUAAUCUGCAGCCAUGUUUUGUUAAUUAGUAUGUUCUAAUGCAAUUUAUGCUGUACACAAUUGUCAAUUAUGCAUCUGGUCUGAUGUUGCGAACUGUAACUGAUGUAAUUGUUGAAUGAUAUGUAUGGAUGCCUUAAUUUAGCCUUUCGUCGUCUGUCCAGUGUUGGAUUAGUCUUAGGUUGGUAAUUAGUAUUCUUAUUGUAAUCUGCAGCCAUGUUUUGUUAAUUAGUAUGUUCUAAUGCAAUUUAUGCUGUACACCAUUGUCAAUUAUGCAUCUGGUCUGAUGUUGCGAACUGUAACUGAUGUAAUUGUUGAAUGAUAUAUAUGGAUGCCUUAAUUUAGCC